CCCCCAUCCCCCGCAGACACUGCCAUGGCAGGGGUUGCUGACACAGGCUUGCCAGUUACCUAUUGCAAUAAAUCUAGGUGGGCCUGAUCUGGUCCCUGGUACCGGCGGGAAGUGGAAGGAGGGUUAGCAGUAUGCACGGGGGGGCGGGAUGGACGGAGGGCAUGGCGGGGAUGAGGUUGGUUGUCUUGGAAGUCAUCGGUAUCAUACCC
Non-coding RNA from Pelobates cultripes (western spadefoot toad), 209 nucleotides. The record is from the annotation of a GenBank genome assembly. NCBI's taxonomy places the organism in Eukaryota, Metazoa, Chordata, Amphibia, Anura, Pelobatidae.